GUAACCACCACACCCGCCGCGCUUAAUGCGCCGCUACAGGGCGCGUCCAUUCGCCAUUCAGGCUGCGCAACUGUUGGGAAGGGCGAUCGGUGCGGGCCUCUUCGCUAUUACGCCAGCUGGCGAAAGGGGGAUGUGCUGCAAGGCGAUUAAGUUGGGUAACGCCAGGGUUUUCCCAGUCACGACGUUGUAAAACGACGGCCAGUGAAUUGUAAUACGACUCACUAUAGGGCGAAUUGGGCCCUCUAGAUGCAUGCUCGAGCGGCCGCCAGUGUGAUGGAUAUCUGCAGAAUUCGCCCUUAGAGUUUGAUCCUGGCUCAGACUCU
This 323-nucleotide ribosomal RNA is filed under the name Pseudomonas sp. BAKZL1108. RNAcentral's name for it is "partial 16S ribosomal RNA". Lineage: Bacteria; Pseudomonadati; Pseudomonadota; Gammaproteobacteria; Pseudomonadales; Pseudomonadaceae. The record is from RNAcentral.